CCAGACAGGCUCCAGUACACCACUGUUGGGAGUGAACCAGUUCAUCUACAAAGUGGACAAAGAUCACUGCUUUCAUGGGGGUUGUCUUUUCACCUUGCUUAUACUUUCCUAUAAGAAAAUGAUGCAAAGAGCUGAAUCAUUUGAAAAGACCCUGAUGUUGGGAAAGAUUGAAGGCAGGAGGAGAAGAAGACAACAGAGGAUGAGCAUGCUAGAUGGCAUCACCGGCUCAAUGGACAUGAGUUUGGGACUUUCCGAACUAUGUUGAAUAAUAAUGGUGAAAGUGGACACCCUUGUCUUGUUCCUGAUCCUUUAUUAAUGAUGACAAUGAAACCAAACCAGACAAAAUGCAGCAACUGCAGAGGAAUGUAGAUUAUCUUUGGCCUCUGAAAUGCUGGGAUGCAAAACUUCUUACUUAUAAACAAGUCCAGCUCCAGAAGAUCAAUGGCUGGGCUCACCAGACAAAUGGGGAACAAGUGGACUGGGUUUGAGGAGUUUUCAAAGAGCAGGUGUAAAGCGUUACAAGGCCUGUUUCUCCCUGGCAGGGCAAAGAUGAAGUCACAGGAAGGAACACAUUGGAAACAGGAAUAUGACAGAGCUCUUGUUCUUCAAUUCUCCUCCCAGAGGCACCAGAAAGGAGAAACAGCACCAAGGCCUGCUCCUGUGACUUCAGGAGGCCAUUGUUUCAGACACACAGGACUAAGGAUAAUUCCAGCAAAGCUGGGAACCAGCAGAGGAAGUCUGUGAGCUUCAGGGAGACUC
Long non-coding RNA from Bos taurus (domestic cattle), 759 nucleotides. The record is from Ensembl. Lineage: Eukaryota; Metazoa; Chordata; Mammalia; Artiodactyla; Bovidae.